Molecule: non-coding RNA, 30 nt
Filed under: Mus musculus (house mouse)
Lineage: Eukaryota; Metazoa; Chordata; Mammalia; Rodentia; Muridae
Source: RNAcentral
UGAGACUCAGAAAAAACAAAGUGACUUUUA